ACUGCUAUUAAAUAUUCACUUGUUCCUCUUCCCAUAUUACUCGCGUGUAUCAAUCUCCAUCCACCCCGCAUACCCUCUGGUUAGAAUUUUCAUCCGGCGGUUGUUUUUUAUUGUCCAAUAACAUAAAAGAGCAAAGCUACAAAACUGCUCUUUUCUUUGAGACUGAGAGAGGGCCAUCUCGACUCUUGAGUUUUGAGGUAUCUCUGUUUUUGGGUAAUUUUUUGAGGAAAGGGGC
This 235-nucleotide unclassified non-coding RNA is filed under the name Hevea brasiliensis (rubber tree). The record is from RNAcentral. Lineage: Eukaryota; Viridiplantae; Streptophyta; Magnoliopsida; Malpighiales; Euphorbiaceae.